Molecule: ribosomal RNA, 504 nt
Filed under: uncultured Glomus
Lineage: Eukaryota; Fungi; Glomeromycota; Glomeromycetes; Glomerales; Glomeraceae
Description: SSU rRNA
Rfam family: Eukaryotic small subunit ribosomal RNA
Source: RNAcentral
AGCAGCCGCGGUAAUUCCAGCUCCAAUAGCGUAUAUUAAAGUUGUUGCAGUUAAAAAGCUCGUAGUUGAAUUUCGGGAUCAAAGAAUCGGUCAUGCCUUGGUAUGUACUGGUUUUAUUGGUUCUCACCUUCUAAAGAACCAUGAUGUCAUUCAUUUGAUGUUAUGGGGAAUUAGGACUGUUACCUUGAAAAAUUAGAGUGUUUAAAGCAAGCUUACGCUUGAAUACAUUAGCAUGGAAUAAUGAAAUAGGACAUCAGAUUCUAUUUUGUUGGUUUCUAGGAUCGAUGUAAUGAUUAAUAGGGAUAGUUGGGGGCAUUAGUAUUCAAUUGUCAGAGGUGAAAUUCUUGGAUUUAUUGAAGACUAACUACUGCGAAAGCAUUUGCCAAGGAUGUUUUCAUUAAUCAAGAACGAAAGUUAGGGGAUCGAAGACGAUCAGAUACCGUCGUAGUCUUAACCAUAAACUAUAGCCGACUAGGGAUCGGAUGAUGUUAAUUUUUAUGACUC